GAUGAGCGCUGGCGGCGUGCCUAAUACAUGCAAGUCGAGCGAACGGACGAGAAGCUUGCUUUUCUGAUGUUAGCGGCGGACGGGUGAGUAACACGUGGAUAACCUACCUAUAAGACUGGGAUAACUUCGGGAAACCGGAGCUAAUACCGGAUAAUAUUUUGAACCGCAUGGUUCAAAAGUGAAAGACGGUCUUGCUGUCACUUAUAGAUGGAUCCGCGCUGCAUUAGCUAGUUGGUAAGGUAACGGCUUACCAAGGCAACGAUGCAUAGCCGACCUGAGAGGGUGAUCGGCCACACUGGAACUGAGACACGGUCCAGACUCCUACGGGAGGCAGCAGUAGGGAAUCUUCCGCAAUGGGCGAAAGCCUGACGGAGCAACUCCGCGUGAGUGAUGAAGGUCUUCGGAUCGUAAAACUCUGUUAUUAGGGAAGAACAUAUGUGUAAGUAACUGUGCACAUCUUGACGGUACCUAAUCAGAAAGCCACGGCUAACUACGUG
This 497-nucleotide ribosomal RNA is filed under the name uncultured bacterium. RNAcentral's name for it is "partial 16S ribosomal RNA". It matches the Rfam family "Bacterial small subunit ribosomal RNA", at positions 28 to 507 of the family's 1533-position model. The record is from RNAcentral.